UACGGAGGGUGCAAGCGUUAUCCGGAUUCACUGGGUUUAAAGGGUGCGUAGGUGGGCAAGUAAGUCAGUGGUGAAAUCUCCGGGCUUAACCCGGAAACUGCCAUUGAUACUAUUUGUCUUGAAUACUGUGGAGGUCAGCGGAAUAUGGUCAUGUAGCGGUGAAAUGCUUAGAUAUGACAUAGAACACCAAUUGCGAAGGCAGCUGGCUACACAAAUAUUGACACUGAGGCACGAAAGCGUGGGGAUCAAACAGG
This 254-nucleotide ribosomal RNA is filed under the name uncultured bacterium. RNAcentral describes it as "partial 16S ribosomal RNA". It matches the Rfam family "Bacterial small subunit ribosomal RNA", at positions 524 to 776 of the family's 1533-position model. The record is from RNAcentral.